AACGCACAUUGCGCCCGCUAGUAUUCUGGCGGGCAUGCCUGUUCGAGCGUCCUUUGGACCCUCGGGCCCGGGUUGAUUCGUCUCCCCGAGGCCCGGUGUUGGGAACCCGCGGCUGCCGCGGGCCCCUAAAAUCAGCGGCGGACCCUUCGGUGGCCCUGGCGUAGUAAUACAUACCUAGCCUUCGGCUGCAGGAGAGGCCUUGCCUCCAGCACCAUAACUCAAAGCUGGACCUCGAAUCAGGUAGGAAUACCCGCUGAACUUAA
This 263-nucleotide unclassified non-coding RNA is filed under the name uncultured fungus. RNAcentral's name for it is "partial contains 5.8S ribosomal RNA, internal transcribed spacer 2, and large subunit ribosomal RNA". The record is from RNAcentral. Lineage: Eukaryota; Fungi.